UUGACAGCGUCAGGAGAGAGUUUUUCCAGAAAAAACCGCCGAAGGCGCAUGUGUCACCCCCAUUGGUGGACUGAACGCUCAGGCAAAAGGACUGGCAACCGCCC
This 104-nucleotide non-coding RNA is filed under the name Polaromonas sp. CG9_12. Its description in RNAcentral is "Glycine riboswitch aptamer". It matches the Rfam family "Glycine riboswitch aptamer". Rfam says of the family: This family represents the bacterial glycine riboswitch. Glycine riboswitches usually consist of two metabolite-binding aptamers domains with similar structures in tandem. The aptamers cooperatively bind glycine to regulate the expression of downstream genes. The record is from Rfam by way of RNAcentral. RNAcentral also lists the same sequence under 1 other name. Lineage: Bacteria; Pseudomonadati; Pseudomonadota; Betaproteobacteria; Burkholderiales; Comamonadaceae.